CCUUGGAGAAAUUCUCUCUUCUCAUUCUACCAUCCUGUCCAAUUCUGGAAGCUAAGCAGGGUCAAGCCCGGUUACUUCUUGGAUGAGAGACCUCUGGGAAUACCAGGGAUCUCAAGAU
RNAcentral lists this ribosomal RNA (118 nucleotides) under Pogona vitticeps (central bearded dragon). Lineage: Eukaryota; Metazoa; Chordata; Lepidosauria; Squamata; Agamidae. The record is from RNAcentral.